This 73-nucleotide transfer RNA is filed under the name Diaphorina citri (Asian citrus psyllid). It matches the Rfam family "tRNA". From Rfam's summary of the family: Transfer RNA (tRNA) molecules are approximately 80 nucleotides in length. Their secondary structure includes four short double-helical elements and three loops (D, anti-codon, and T loops). The record is from Rfam by way of RNAcentral. Lineage: Eukaryota; Metazoa; Arthropoda; Insecta; Hemiptera; Psyllidae.
GCCUAGAUAGCUUAGUUGGUAGCGCGUCUGCCUUGUAAGCGCUAGGCCGCGGGUUCGAUUCCCGCCCGAGGCG